CAGCCGCCGCGGUAAUACGUAGGGUGCAAGCGUUGUCCGGAAUUAUUGGGCGUAAAGCGCACGUAGGCGGCUUUGUAAGUAAGAGGUGAAAGCCCGGAGCUCAACUCCGGAACUGCCUUUUAGACUGCAUCGCUUGAAUCCAGGAGAGGUGAGUGGAAUUCCGAGUGUAGAGGUGAAAUUCGUAGAUAUUCGGAAGAACACCAGUGGCGAAGGCGGCUCACUGGACUGGUAUUGACGCUGAGGUGCGAAAGCGUGGGGAGCAAACAGGAUUAGAUACCCGCGUAGUCCCUGUCUCUUAUAC
This 301-nucleotide ribosomal RNA is filed under the name uncultured bacterium. RNAcentral describes it as "partial 16S ribosomal RNA". It matches the Rfam family "Bacterial small subunit ribosomal RNA", at positions 509 to 807 of the family's 1533-position model. The record is from RNAcentral.